AGUGAACGCUGGCGGUAGGCCUAACACAUGCAAGUCGAACGGCAGCACAGUAAGAUCUUGCUCUUACGGGUGGCGGGUGGCGGACGGGUGAGGAAUACAUCGGAAUCUACUUUUUCGUGGGGGAUAACGUAGGGAAACUUACGCUAAUACCGCAUACGACCUACGGGUGAAAGCAGUGGAUCUUCGGACCUUGCGCGACUGAAUGAGCCGAUGCCGGAUUAGCUAGUUGGCGGGGUAAAGGCCCACCAAGGCGACGAUCCGUAGCUGGUCUGAGAGGAUGAUCGGCCACACUGGAACUGAGACACGGUCCAGACUCCUACGGGAGGCAGCAGUGGGGAAUAUUGCACAAUGGGCGCAAGCCUGAUCCAGCCACACCGCGUGGGUGAAGAAGGCCUUCGGGUUGUAAAGCCCUUUUGUUGGGAAAGAAAAGCAGCGGGUUAAUACCCCGCUGUUCUGACGGUACCCAAAGAAUAAGCACCGGCUAACUUCGUG
This 492-nucleotide ribosomal RNA is filed under the name uncultured bacterium. RNAcentral describes it as "partial 16S ribosomal RNA". It matches the Rfam family "Bacterial small subunit ribosomal RNA", at positions 29 to 507 of the family's 1533-position model. The record is from RNAcentral.